GACGAACGCUGGCGGCGCGCCUAACACAUGCAAGUCGAACGGAGCUGAGAGAAGCUUGCUUUUCUUAGCUUAGUGGCGAACGGGUGAGUAACGCGUGAGUAACCUGCCCUGGAGUGGGGGACAACAGUUGGAAACGACUGCUAAUACCGCAUAAGCCCACGAUCCGGCAUCGGAUUGAGGGAAAAGGAUUUAUUCGCUUCAGGAUGGACUCGCGUCCAAUUAGCUAGUUGGUGAGGUAACGGCCCACCAAGGCGACGAUUGGUAGCCGGACUGAGAGGUUGAACGGCCACAUUGGGACUGAGACACGGCCCAGACUCCUACGGGAGGCAGCAGUGGGGGAUAUUGCACAAUGGGGGAAACCCUGAUGCAGCGACGCCGCGUGGAGGAAGAAGGUUUUCGGAUUGUAAACUCCUGUCGUUAGGGACGAUAAUGACGGUACCUAACAAGAAAGCACCGGCCAACUACGUG
This 468-nucleotide ribosomal RNA is filed under the name uncultured bacterium. RNAcentral's name for it is "partial 16S ribosomal RNA". It matches the Rfam family "Bacterial small subunit ribosomal RNA", at positions 28 to 507 of the family's 1533-position model. The record is from RNAcentral.